AGCUUUGCGCAGUGGCAGUAUCGUAGCCAAUGAGGUUUAUCCGAGGCGCGAUUAUUGCUAAUUGAAAAAAAAAAAAGUUAAAAAUGGAGCUACCCUGUGGCCCAGACAUUGCACUACUGGGUAUUUACCCCAAAGAUAUAGAUGU
This 145-nucleotide small nuclear RNA is filed under the name Ursus maritimus (polar bear). Its description in RNAcentral is "U4 spliceosomal RNA (ENSUMAG00000023852.1)". The stretch from base 1 to 77 matches the Rfam family "U4 spliceosomal RNA". From Rfam's summary of the family: U4 small nuclear RNA (U4 snRNA) is a component of the major U2-dependent spliceosome. The structure of U4 snRNA from yeast and human has been reported. U4 snRNA presents a k-turn RNA motif in the 5p-SL related to recognition of Snu13 protein. The record is from RNAcentral. Lineage: Eukaryota; Metazoa; Chordata; Mammalia; Carnivora; Ursidae.